GUGCUCGCUUCAGUAGCACAUAUACUAAAAUUGGAAAAAUAUAGAGAAGAUAAGCAUGGCCCCUGUGCAAGGAUGACACACAAAUUCGUGAAGCGUUCCAUAUUAUU
This is a small nuclear RNA of Callithrix jacchus (white-tufted-ear marmoset), 107 nucleotides long. NCBI's taxonomy places the organism in Eukaryota, Metazoa, Chordata, Mammalia, Primates, Cebidae. The record is from Ensembl.